CUGGCGGCGCGCUUACACAUGCAAGUCGAGCGAGAAAGUGGAGCAAUCCAUGAGUAAAGCGGCGUACGGGUGAGUAACACGUGGAUAAUUUACCUCUUAGUGGGGAAUAACCCUGGGAAACCGGGGCUAAUACCGCAUGAGCCUGAGAAGGGAAAGCAAGCAAUUGCGCUGAGAGAGGAGUCCGCGGCCGAUUAGCUAGUUGGUAGGGUAAAGGCCUACCAAGGCGACGAUCGGUAGCCGGCCUGAGAGGGCACACGGCCACACUGGCACUGGGACACGGGCCAGACUCCUACGGGAGGCAGCAGUGGGGAAUCUUGCACAAUGGAGGCAACUCUGAUGCAGCGACGCCGCGUGAGCGAUGAAGCCCUUCGGGGUGUAAAGCUCUUUCGGCAGGAACGAUAAUGACGGUACCUGAAGAAGAAGCUGCGGCUAACUACGUGCCAGCAGCCGCGGUAAUACGUAGGCAGCGAGCGUUGUUCGGAAUUACUGGGCGUAAAGAGUGUGUANGCGGUGCUCUAAGUUCGGUGUGAAAUCUCCCGGCUUAACUGGGAGGGUGCGCCGGAAACUGGAGUGCUCGAGCGUGGGAGAGGAAAGCGGAAUUCCUGGUGUAGCGGUGAAAUGCGUA
RNAcentral lists this ribosomal RNA (625 nucleotides) under uncultured bacterium. RNAcentral describes it as "bacterial SSU rRNA". It matches the Rfam family "Bacterial small subunit ribosomal RNA", at positions 36 to 692 of the family's 1533-position model. The record is from RNAcentral.